Salvia splendens (bonfire salvia) is the source of this 2306-nucleotide long non-coding RNA. RefSeq lists it as uncharacterized. The record is from RefSeq and is a predicted model, not a curated record. Lineage: Eukaryota; Viridiplantae; Streptophyta; Magnoliopsida; Lamiales; Lamiaceae. The transcript has 2 exons.
UAACGCGAAGAUAACGAUUCUUCACCGCAUUGAUUUCUUCAUGCGUGACAAUAUUGUUAUCCAGCUCCAAUUGCAGAAAGAAGUCUUCUCCCACCUCCGAUCUGAAUUUUAUUUUUUGUCUGAAUCAACUCGAUCAAUCAUGAGUUUCCUUUUCGGGAAGAGAAACAUCCCAGCAGGAAAGCACGGUAAUUACCUUCAUGGCGAAGGCGGAAACAAAGAAACAACCAAAGAAAAAGAUGGGAAUCAAGCUUCGGUCGUCCAAGCCCCGGUCGCCGGUAGUGUUCAAGGACGGCAAGAAACGAUGCAGAAAUUCUAAUCUGGUCCCAUAAAUACCUAUCCUUCGGGGGCGGCUCACACUCAUCAAAAGCACGUUGGGAGCCAUUCCUCUCCACGUUCUUGUUCUUACGUGACAAGAUCUCGAAGAGAAUACCCUCCACGUCUUUCAGGUGAUCGAACCCAUGAAUGAGGCGAUGAAACAGAUGGAGAGUAUAAUUACAAGGUUUUUCUGGGGUUAGAACAAUGACAUCAGAAGAAUGCAUUGGAUUGCAUGGGAGUAGAUUCAGAGACAUGGCGGAGGCGUUUAGCAUGAAAUUGUGGUGGAGAUUCAGAGAAAGACUGUCUCUUUGGGCAGAGUUUAUGUUCAAAAUGUAUUGUCAUACCGCCUCCCCGUCGGAGGUGAAACCCCUGAAAAAAAGCAGCCCCAUUUGGAGAUGAAUGAUCCAGGCCAGAGCAAGGACUCACCUGCACAUGAUAUGUUCUAUCGGAGAUGGGGCCUUAGAACUCUGGGAUGACAUAUGGUUGAAUGAUCAGUCGAUUAGAGGCAUGGGCCACCCAGAGGUGAACCUACCGCGAAAACAUGUCCGCGAUCUGUGGACUGAUAACAAAUGGGAUGAGGCAAAAAUCAGAGCAGCACUAGUGCCUCUCGGAGCGCCGGAUGAUUUGGUGGAGAAAAUUAUAGGAGUACCGAAUAACGGAGAGAGUAAAGACACUGCGAGAUGGAAUUCCACAACACAUGGAGACUUCACUACCUCGUCGGCAUGGGAGAUUAUUAGGCAUCAGCACGAAAAGGUGGAGAUAUUUCGGCUCAUAUGGACUCCAUCCUUAUCUCCUUCUAUGUCGAUUUUCAUUUGGAGACUCUUGGCUAAUAGGGUCCCGGUGGAUGCAAAUUACAGUGGAGAAACAUUCACCUUGCGUCGAAAUGCAGGUGUUGUAAGAACUCAAGUGAAAAGACACGAGAGCAUCUCUUUAUUCAAGGAGCUACAUCGGCAAAAAUAUGGAGGUAUUUUGCUAAUCGUUUUCUAGAUGCUCCAAAAUUUCUAAGGGAUAUGACAGAUAUGGAACUACGAAUCCGGUGGUGGAAAUCAAACGCGAUGCAAACAACAAAAGAUCACGCCAAUAUCCUCAUCCCUUGCUUGAUUCUAUGGUUCAUCUGGACCGAGAGAAACUACGUCAUUCACAAAGGUGCUACCUUUAGCAGCGGCAGUGUAAUUGAACAGGUUCAAAAUCACCUACAAAGGGCUAUCCUUGAAAGGAAGCUACAAGGGGCACAAUGGAAGGGAUUGACCCCUAACGUUACCUUUAACCUCCCGCAGCCAAAGGUGAACAAGGCACCUCGAUCACAAGUGGUUUGGUAGCAACUCCCGCAGCGGGGUUGCGUGAAGAUUAACACCGAUGGGGCCUUCAUAGGAGUGACCUUGAUGGCGGGUGGAGGAGGAGUCAUUCGGAAUGACCAAGGAAGAAUUUUAAGGGGAUUUGCAGAUCAUUUCUUUGCGAGGUCUGGCGUUGAAGCUAAACUAAAGGCGGUACUCAGAGGUCUUGAGUUGGCCAGAGGUCUUGGGGGAAAUAUUUGGAUAGAGGUUGAUUCACAAGAAGUGGUUGGCAUGAUCGAAACAGGGAAACGAGGGGCUGCGAAACAUCGACGUGUUUUAACGGAGAUCAGGAAUAGGCUCAGAGACUUCCAGUUCAAAAUCACGCAUAUUCAUAAGGAGGGAAACAGGAUCGCUGACUAUCUCGCAAAACAAGGGGGAAGGCAAGAACAACGAUUUGAAUUUAAGCAAGAAUCGGCCCCACCUUUUGUGAAUGCCCUAGCCCGUAUGAAUAGACUCCACAUUCCAAGAGUAUGGGGGUGCCGAGAGUUCUUCUUUAGAUCACGCCACCUCCUCACCCUAGCUCUUGAUGUUUUUUUUCUUUUUGUAAUUCAUGAUCUUGUUUUGCAAGCCACUUUUGGGCAGCAUGUAAAAUUACAGUUGAUGAUAUGAAGGGACGAGGGACCCACGAACCCUCCACCACUAAGGUGUUAAAAAUAA